Molecule: ribosomal RNA, 447 nt
Filed under: uncultured bacterium
Lineage: Bacteria
Description: bacterial SSU rRNA
Rfam family: Bacterial small subunit ribosomal RNA
Source: RNAcentral
GACCAGACUCCUACGGGAGGCAGCAGUGGGGAAUAUUGCACAAUGGGGGAAACCCUGAUGCAGCGACGCCGCGUGAGCGAUGAAGUAUUUCGGUAUGUAAAGCUCUAUCAGCAGGGAAGAAAAUGACGGUACCUGACUAAGAAGCCCCGGCUAACUACGUGCCAGCAGCCGCGGUAAUACGUAGGGGGCAAGCGUUAUCCGGAUUUACUGGGUGUAAAGGGAGCGUAGACGGCUGUGCAAGCCAGAUGUGAAAGCCCGGGGCUCAACCCCGGGACUGCAUUUGGAACUGUGUGGCUGGAGUGUCGGAGAGGCAGGCGGAAUUCCUAGUGUAGCGGUGAAAUGCGUAGAUAUUAGGAGGAACACCAGUGGCGAAGGCGGCCUGCUGGACGAUGACUGACGUUGAGGCUCGAAAGCGUGGGGAGCAAACAGGAUUAGAUACCCCCGUAA